RNAcentral lists this ribosomal RNA (897 nucleotides) under Pythium aff. pleroticum. Its description in RNAcentral is "eukaryotic LSU rRNA". The stretch from base 253 to 407 matches the Rfam family "5.8S ribosomal RNA". Lineage: Eukaryota; Oomycota; Peronosporomycetes; Pythiales; Pythiaceae. The record is from RNAcentral.
CCACACCAAAAACAACUUUCCACGUGAACUGUCUUACGAGAUUCGCGCCGUGACGCGUGUUGACGCUGUGUGUGUUUGUGUCUUCUUUCGAGAGGAUAUUGUGAUGCAAACAGUGUUGACCGUGUGGGUCGGCUGAUCGAAGGUCGCUUUGUGCAUUAUUGUAUGGAGCGGCUGACUUAUUCUUUCAAAUCCAUUACACAAUACUACUGAUUCAUACUGUGAGGACGAAAGUCUUUGCUUUUACUAGAUAACAACUUUCAGCAGUGGAUGUCUAGGCUCGCACAUCGAUGAAGAACGCUGCGAACUGCGAUACGUAAUGCGAAUUGCAGAAUUCAGUGAGUCAUCGAAAUUUUGAACGCAUAUUGCACUUUCGGGUUAUGCCUGGAAGUAUGUCUGUAUCAGUGUCCGUAAAUCAACCUUGCCUCUCUUUGUCGGUGUAGUCCGGCUUGGAGUGUGCAGAUGUGAAGUGUCUCGCGCUACGUCAGUUUGAUGCUAUGCAAUAAGACUAGGCGCGCGAGUCCUUUGAAAACGACACGAUCUUUCUAUUGCUUUCUGUGGAGCGCGACAAUUGAACGCGGCGGUCUUGGGAUCGCCUGCAGUCGAUAGCGACUUUGGCAGAGACAUAUGGAGGAUACCUCAUUUCGCGGUACGUUAGGCUUCGGCUCGACAAUGUUGCGUAGUGUGUGUGUUUUUCCGUCUUUGCUUUGAGGUGUACUGUUGAUUGUGGGCUUGAACCUGGGUUCUGUGUGUUAGUAGAGUGUGGCUGUCUCUGUGGUUUGCGUCUGCGUGCUAUUUCGGUCGCACGUAGGUAGGAGGGUUCCAUUUGGGAAACAUUGUACUGCGCACUGGAAAGUGUGUGUGUAUCUCACUUGGACCUGAUAUCAGACAAGACUACCC